AGAGAAUAUAAGUAAUCUUCAUAUUGUUGACACCCUUCCAUUUAAAACGACAAUAAAUUUGGAUGACGACCCUCUAGUUGAUGAUGUACAUGCAAUUCGGGAAGAUCACAAUGAGGGAAUACACAUAUGACCAAUCCAUAUGAUUAUAUAUAUGACUAAGGCACUACAUUCGUCUGAGGAUGAAGUCCCCACUUCUAGACCCACUAGAGGAGCGACGAGGUGUAGACAACUUGAACUUAGAAGAAAUGCAGGAGAGAGGACACCUAUGAUUAUUGACGUGGUCACUGGAGUAGCAUCUGGACCAAAUGCAGAUGAAUUUAGGUCUUACCUUGGAGUACUAGCACAUGAUCGUAUCUCUAUACUUACUUCAUCCUUUGACCAUGUAUCUAAGGUCGAUCGGAAUCUUAUCUGGCAAGAUCUAUUGUUGAUGAAGAAACAUGGCGUCAGUUUGUAGAGCUUCGUUCAUUCGAGACGUGGCAGCAAACAAGGUCAAAAGCACAAGGUAUAAGUGCUUUGAAUAAAAAUCCACACAUGCUGUCUCGUGGUGGAUACAAGAAGCUUGAGGAAAACAUAAUGAAGCAGAAGUCAGAUAGUAGACUUCUACUUUUUGAGGGUGGUGACCCUCCUCCUCCUCUUUCACCACCAUCUCAACACGAGAAGUGGAAGUUAGCCCGUAUAAGAUCAUCGGGCUCCUACACUUCACUGCCAGAGAUAUCUGAAAGAACUCUCCCAAGGUCAAUUCACACAAGAAGGUCGUUAGGAUAUUCUUGCCACAGCUAUUGGACGACUUAAGCACCCAGGACAGGUGCGUGCUGCUGGGACUGACAUAAGCAUACGACAAUAAUUUGGGUCUUCCUCGCGUCCAUCUUCAUAUGAAAAACUGAAGGAGUUGUAUGAUGAAGUUGCUGAAAUGGUUGCGCACCAAUUCGAGCAGCGUUAUGAGCAUUAUGGCAAUCAUCCUCCGCCAUCUCCUGUAGCGGAACAUGUUGUGCCCCCUACAAGUAGAAGUGGUAAAGGAAGUUGCUCAGCUACUGGUGCCCCAGGGGACGAAAUGGACGACACUUGUCCAUGUCAACUAUAUAUUAUCUCUCCUACUAGGACCAUGCUAGUGGUUCGUGGCAUAGUCUAUUAGACGGCCACUAUAGUGCAUGGUGUACAACUAGCAGAAGAUGAGGUCAAUGGAAGAGAUAAUGGAAGAGGCAUUUAAGUCCUUCGUCACCUUGCCUAGACAUUUGGUUGGUGAUGUAUCUGACCCCCCGACAGGUCAAGAGGGAAGUCGUACACCGAAGAAGACUCAUUUAUCUGAGGACGACCCUCUUGGUGCGUUAGACGAGCUUGUUAACAUCAUUUCAGAUGCGCCGAUGAUUGUACCAUGGGAUUCUACUACAUUUGGAAGAGAUAAUGAGAUCCCACUAUACUUGAAUGCCCAAGAUGCUAGGGAGCUUGCAUCGGGGAGAGAAGAAAUUAAUAUUACACUCCUUCAACUGUGGAUGAUGUAUAUGUUUGGUGUGAGUAAAAAGAGGGGGUUCAAUGAUGUAUAUGGGUUCAUUGACCCCUAUAUGACUCAUGAAAGAAAUAAAUUUGAUGAAAUCCAAACAUACAUCACCACCUGCUUUGGAAUGGGGAAGGACAUAUAUUUCCUCCCUUAUAUGCUUGGGCAUCAUUGAGAGCUACUUAUGAUCUUCAUACUAGAGAACACUACUGUCUGGUUUUGUUUAUUGCACAAGUCUCCUCCCAGCCCUCUUAGUCAUGUAGUAGAUUGAGAUUCAAUAUGACUACUCCAAUUCCAUAGAAGUCACUUAAACUCGUGAGCAAAACACUGGCUAAAUAUAUAAUUCAACUAUAUAAUAGUAUGUAGUAGAUAUUAGGAUAUAAUAAGUUAUACGUUUAUGCUUCUAAGUUGUUUUAUGCUUUUGUACAUUAUUAUUAGUUUAACUUUGUACAUUGGAUUAUUUAUGCUUCAAAUAUG
Molecule: long non-coding RNA, 1969 nt
Organism: Vigna angularis (adzuki bean)
Lineage: Eukaryota; Viridiplantae; Streptophyta; Magnoliopsida; Fabales; Fabaceae
Exons: 10
Source: RefSeq, a predicted model, not a curated record